AUUCAGAUCUAGAGUCCGCAUGUCUAACUGUCAGGGCCUCCGGCCGGCGCUAAAGAGGCAACGACUCCCAGGUGCCGCGGGGACGCGGCCAACCGGGCACAGCUGCGCCUCGUCGGCAGUCCGGGGCGGGGCCCAACGCCUCUUAAGCUCAGCCAGAGGCCGCUGGAAGCCACGAAAGCUACCGGGAACCAGAGCGGGCUCUGCUCUUUCGUCCGGUCCUAGCGCCGCUGAUGCUGCUUUUAAAGCUGAACGAGGGCUGCAGCGGAACCUCUCGUUAUUCUGAACCGGUGAGAUGGUGGAAGCGGAUGUGAUCUCAUUCAACCCAUGGAGAUACGGUGGGACAGAUUGCACGACUGGAAUGCUGUUGUGGAUGGCUGAGUCCCUUUACAGAAGAGACAGACAGGUGAGGUGGUGGAGUUGCUCUUCCAGAGAGAGAACUGGAACGUGUUGAGCUCUGCUCCCCUAGUUCUGCAUUCAUCCUUAGGCAGUGACAUGUGAGGCUCAAGAAGCAGUAAAUGUGGGUAACAUCACUGGGUGUAUUGGUUACAGAUGAGGAAGCUGAUAAGAUCUUCUGCAUGUGGCUCACAGUAAUCUCAGAGCUGUGGACAUUAGCUAUCACAGCAGACUUGAACCACCCUGCCAUUUGUUAGUAGAGCAGAGCUGUCAGGAAUACCUCAUUCCAGGAGAUUCCUGCUGGUGUCAAAUAUGAGUUUGCUGACAGAGGAGAUGGAGGAGCCAAUGAGGACAGAGGCAUUGCUGACUUUUCUUACUCAGUGUGGAGGAAGGGCCGGUUGGAGAUGUGAAGACUAGGUCAGCCUCAAGUGCAGCAGUUGUGAGCUGGUGAAGUGUGGGAUGUCAUGUAGAAGAUACAAAGCAGUAAGUAGGAUUGAAACCUCAGAUUUUGAGGGAGGAGCCAACUUCGUCCUCUUAAAGGACCACCUUGGAGGUAUUCCUUGGGUUAGAGCACUGGGAGGGGUCCUGCCAGCGGCUCUUGAUUCUGAUGCAUAACUUGUUUGUGUUCAGGAGGGUAAGAAAUAGAGCAGCAGUGUCAGGAGACCUGCACGGGCAAAGGAGGAGGUCAUAGAUAACUUUCCUUUUUCUGUGGCUGCUAGGGGUGUGCCUGGAUGUGGUGUGCCCUCUAGAUGAGAUGGCAUGAUUUAACUUGCUGUCAACUGUGGGACCCAGAUUCCUUUCCCCAGUGCAGCUGUCUGGCCUUAUCCCCCUGGCUGCCCCUCUCAGGUGCAGGCUCAGGUGCUGGCUGCUGUCAAACUUCAGCUGGCUGGCAAUUGCAUGGCCUGCUACUGGGUAGAGCGAGAACUCAGCAGAGCCCUUCUAUCGCUGGGGAGUACAUAGCUCUUCCUGCUAUGGUGUAAUCAGCAAAUGUACUUAAUGUACAUUUGACUCCUGAGUCCUGAUCACUUAUAGCAAUACUGAAGAGAACUGAUCCCCAUAAAAAGCCCCUAGACUCUGACUGGCACCUGUCUCCCAGCAUCUGGUGAUGUCAUUUACUCUGACAACUGCUUGGAGCCUCUUUUGUAUGGGGCCAAGUCAGUGCUUAGCCCUUUGUUUAAGAAGUACAAUUAGGAAGGGCUGUUUCCUGGCACAGGAUUUAGCUUCUGGUUCCCCUUACCUGACAAGAAUUUUCCUUACCUCCUCAAAGGCAUAAUACAUGCUUGGAACAAGAGCCCAGGCAACGAUGUCUUGCUUUUGUAAUGUGGGUGUUUUCUCAUGUGCCAAAAAACUUGUAGGAACAGUUAAACAGAAGCUACAGCAAUUAUUGCAUGUGUUAGACAGUUGAAGUUACUGGAAACAUCCCACUAUAGAUGAAUGGAAUAAGAUGUGUAAUAAAUAUCUGUAAUACAUCAAUUACUUUAUCUGUGUGUGUAUAUAUUAUCUGUAAUAAAUCACUAAUAAACACAACUACAAAUAAACAGUUUCUCCCAAAAGUUGGAUACUUUUAACUGCUACAAUCCAUGUCAUUUUACUCUUUGCAUGAUCUGCGUAGUAACAUUAUUAGCGUAUCCUACCAUUUACUAUCUAGAAUGGCUGAGCAAGAAGUAUAGUUUGCAGCUUUAAUGCCUGAAGCUGCCAAAAAAAACCCCUUUCAGGGGUUAGAAAUGUAUUUCCCAGGUCUUCUCAGAAGAGGACUUCUGCUGUGCGUGCCAGUCUUUGUAAUGUCUUUCAUUGCAAACAGUUAUAAGCUCUCCUCACUUUAACCAGAGGACCAGACUGUAUGCAUGUAUUCCUCCAUCAGUGAAGAGAAAAAAGGAUUUUCUCCCUCAUUUUUAUGAUGAAUCAGGAACAAAUGCGGUGAUCCUUAAUUCAUGUGAGCUUUACACCAACAACCAGCAUUUGACCAUGAGCAGUUUCAAAAAACCUGACCUUUGUUCUGUCCUUGUUUCUGUGGAACACCAAUCCCUCAUCAAACAGCACAGGAGGAAGACCUUCUUCCACUUUGUGUGCUUACUUGUAAUAACAUCCAUAGUCAUCUCCCUUCUGCAUCAACUCAGGUUAUCAGGCUGAGAAGAUAAAUCCCUCCCUACCCAAACCUACACACUGAAUGUCGAAGAGGAUUUUUUCGCUUGAGAAGACAUAAGAAAUAAACUGCGUAAGGACAAUAGGAGGUCUUUUAAACUCCUUUACCUGAUUUAGCCUCUCAGUGGUUCGUAGGUUCUGAAGUAUUCAAUGCAACACAUAACAAAAAAAAGAAAAAAAGCAGCCGGAGAAGGAGGAAAAGUAAGGAAAGAGCAAGGUUGCGGAUUUCAUCUUCAUAACUGCCAUGAGACAGGCACAAUGAAAAACUGUCACAAAAAGUUGCAUGCACACAUCCAAAGUCCUAGGCUCACAAAACAACUCUGCAAAGGAGGGAUCUCCUGAAAGAGAUCCUUCCUCAGUGCCAGUCAGCCCUUAAAUGGGGGUUUAAGAGGAGUAGAGCUUGGCUCCACCCCUUCCCCUCCCACAAUUGAAUUGCCUUCACCUGUGCUCCCAGGCCUGACCUGGUCUCCCCUGGGGCUCAAUCAGUGAUUGCCUGACUUGGCAGUGCACUUGCAGUCAGGCAAAUCUCACUGCUUACACUAUAAGCUACUCAGGCUGCCGAGACAUGCCGGCUUUGAGAGGUCAGACAGAACUGCUUCCUGGAGGGAAGUGGAAUCGCUUACCCUUCUCAAUAUGUUUCCCCAGAGAUGAGAUCCCACGAAAUUCACUAGCCUAAAAAAAGUGCUCAAGAAUGAGACAACCUAAUUCCAAGGAAAAAUACUGAGCUCACUGGUCAGUACUGCUGGGGAAGACGGCUGUGGAGAUGGGCAGACUGACAGGCUUUUUUCUU
Long non-coding RNA from Tympanuchus pallidicinctus (lesser prairie-chicken), 3325 nucleotides. RefSeq lists it as uncharacterized. The transcript has 3 exons. The record is from RefSeq and is a predicted model, not a curated record. Lineage: Eukaryota; Metazoa; Chordata; Aves; Galliformes; Phasianidae.